GACGAACGCUGGCGGCAUGCCUAAUACAUGCAAGUCGAGCGAACAGAUGAAGUGCUUGCACUUCUGACGUUAGCGGCGAACGGGUGAGUAACACGUAAGGAAUCUACCUAUAAGCGGGGGAUAACAUUCGGAAACGGGUGCUAAUACCGCAUAAUAUCUUCUUCCGCAUGGAAGAAGAUGGAAAGACGGCUCUGCUGUCACUUAUAGAUGACCUUGCGGUGCAUUAGUCAGUUGGUGGGGUAACGGCCUACCAAGACGAUUAUGCAUAGCCGACCUGAGAGGGUGAUCGGCCACAUUGGGACUGAGACACGGCCCAAACUCCUACGGGAGGCAGCAGUAGGGAAUCUUCCGCAAUGGGCGAAAGCCUGACGGAGCAAUGCCGCGUGAGUGAAGAAGGCCUUCGGGUCGUAAAACUCUGUUAUAAGAGAAGAACAAAUUGUAGAGUAACUGCUACAGUCUUGACGGUAUCUUAUCAGAAAGCCACGGCUAACUACGUGCCAGCCGCCGCCGUAA
RNAcentral lists this ribosomal RNA (513 nucleotides) under uncultured bacterium. RNAcentral's name for it is "partial 16S ribosomal RNA". It matches the Rfam family "Bacterial small subunit ribosomal RNA", at positions 28 to 523 of the family's 1533-position model. The record is from RNAcentral.